RNAcentral lists this ribosomal RNA (274 nucleotides) under uncultured bacterium. RNAcentral's name for it is "partial 16S ribosomal RNA". It matches the Rfam family "Bacterial small subunit ribosomal RNA", at positions 523 to 796 of the family's 1533-position model. The record is from RNAcentral.
AUACGGAGGGUGCAAGCGUUAUUCGGAAUCACUGGGCGUAAAGGACGCGUAGGCGGGUUGGCAAGUCAGAUGUGAAAUCCUACAGCUUAACUGUAGGACUGCAUUUGAAACUGCUAACCUAGAGUAUGGGAGGGGGAGAUGGAAUUAGUGGUGUAGGGGUAAAAUCCGUAGAUAUCACUAGGAAUACCGAAAGCGAAGGCGAUCUCCUGGAACAUAACUGACGCUAAGGCGUGAAAGCGUGGGGAGCAAACAGGAUUAGAAACCCUUGUAGUCC